CAUAGAAGGGAAAGUAGCUCCCUGAAGCAAGGCUGCAGACUCACUGAGCAUGACAGACAGUAAAAUAACCCCACAGGCUGGCAGGGAAUAGCCAGCCAGUAGCAGAGGAGUUUGCCUGGGCUGCCUCACCGCAUCCGAACCUGUGCCUUGUUUCUUGCCUGCUGCCCUGCUGCUAAGUGCCUGCCGGGAGGUCUGAGGGGCUCCUGGACUGAGCUUCAACAAAGCCCCUCCACCUCUCCAGCCAUCUUUUCCAUCUGCCUCAGCAGCCUCCCCUGUGUGUUUUGCCCUUGUGUGGUGAUGAUCCAACUGGUGACAGGAGUGCAGCUGGUGGAGGCCAAUCAAUGCCUUAUAAUUCCCUUUAAGGGGGCCCUGCUGAGGAUGUUUUAUACGCUGAUGGACCUACAAUGCUUCUGGUGCCACGCCCUGGGACACAUAUGUCAUAAGUGCCCCAUGGUGGGGAAGCAUACCUAGUCUGCUUAGAAAGCAGCCUUGAGAAGAACAAACAAACCAUCUAUAAGAAGAUAAGGAGCAAAGCAAACUUCCUGUCUCAGGAGGUUGUAAAACAAGCAAUUCCUCACCAUCCAUCCAACUGCAUACCUAAGCCUAAGAUGUACGUAGCCAAGAGACUGUGAGUUUUGAUGAAGUCAACAAGGUAAUUGGCUAAACAGGUUGUCAGAGGCACCACAGCAGUUUGUCUGGAUAAAAAGGGAGUGAAGACCAUCCCCAACAACAUCAUAUGCCAUCAACUCAGGAGAAAACUACCGGUGUCCCUCCCAUAAGAUCACUGCGUCUAGAGGCACCAUGACUGGCCAGCGUGACCGAACCCGAGCACCAGUGGAUUGCCGUGUGUGUAUGAAUGGUUUUAGAUAAAGCAUUGCUUUUUCCCCCACUUGAUUUAUGUGUGUCACUCAAUAAAGAUCUUGGUU
Molecule: long non-coding RNA, 926 nt
Organism: Alligator mississippiensis (American alligator)
Lineage: Eukaryota; Metazoa; Chordata; Crocodylia; Alligatoridae
Exons: 4
Source: RefSeq, a predicted model, not a curated record